CAAAUUUCUGUUUACUCCCUCCGCGAAGUUUUUACAUAAGAAUUCUAUUUCAGGUUGCUUGUUGAAUAUAUUUUAGGAAUUUAACCCUGAAUGGAUUCAGAGCAAACCGAUGAACUCCCGAACUGGUUAUUUGACGACGAUGACCCAGACAGCUACUUCAUGCCGGUCAACACACUAACAUAUACAGAUGCACAGACUGUAAAGAGAGUUUAUUCGCUAGCUAAGAAAAUCUGUGAGGUUUUUACCAGAAACUCCUUAUUCUAUUGGACGACGGGAGGGACUACCCUUGGCAUAGUUAGACAUGGUGGUCUUAUACCGUGGGAUGAUGAUUUAGAUAUAUGCAUACUUAAAAAGGAUGAAGCGCAGCUAGAAAGUUUAACGAAAGAGUUGCUACAAGAAGGUUUACGUCUCCAACCUGCUCAACCCUACUCCUGGAAAAUAUUUAGUCUGGUGGACUCUGACCCGGUAGAGAACAUUAAUUACACGCACAGAUAUCCCUUCUGCGACGUGUUUGUCAUGACACAGAAGAAGGAUAGAUAUGUUCUGUGUGAGAAGGUUGGAGAGAAUAUUUGGCCCAACGAGAUCUAUUACCAGGAUCAACUUGACAAGACUGAGUUACGAAGAUUUGGAAAUAUUUAUUUACCCUGCCCUGGGAACCCGGAGAAGUACCUAGAUGGAACCUAUGGUUCUAACUGGAGUUCUGCUGGUUCUACACACUUCUUUAAUCACAAGAACGGAACCCUGUUUCGCUCUUCUCAGUUUGAUUUGUCGGAGGAAAUGUUUGUGCCUGCUCUGCCCUUUGAAUAGGACAGGAAACUAGAAAAUGCUACGACACCAAAGUUUUAGUAUUUUCGUAUUUGCAUGGUAGUCAAAUGAUUAACCCCUAUUGAUAUACUCAGUGAUCAAUUUACAUCAACUUCCCUGAUGUUUAUUACAGUGCUUAGGAUCCGGAUCUGUUGUAUCCGCAAGUUUUUAGAUCUUAAUCUGGAUUCAAGGGGCAAAAUAUCAACCAAAAGCUUCAAAAACUUAAAUUUGAGUUAUUGAAAAAGAGAGAUUAUAAAAAUUUCCUAAUUUCUCAAUGGUUUAUCAAGAUUAAGCAUAAAAAUAAGCGAAAAAAAAUGAAACAAAAAAAUUUUAAAAUUUUGUCCCAAAAAAUCAGUAAAUCUAGAAAGAAAUUACUUGGAUCCAUUUCUUUCCAGCCCGGAUCCGGAUCCGCAUCAAAAUUAAACGGAUCCUAAGCAAUGCUUUGUUAUAGUUUACAAUUUGUGUGUUACUCCAUCUAGAUAUAUAAUGCUAAUGAUAAUAAUGAUAAUAAUAAUAAUGAUGUCUCAUAUGAACUGUAUAGUGGUAAAAAGUAAAUAUUGAAAGGACUUUCGGCUUCAUUAGUUUUUCAUAAAAGGAUUUUUUAUCACAAACUUUUAUGUUUUAUGUGGCCUGAAUUUUGUAGUAAUUUACCCGUUCAAAUUAUUGCUUCUAGAGAUUCUUUGUUACCAAUGUAUACGAAACAUAAGAUGCAAUUAGUUGAAACAGAAACCCAGUUGUAUUCCUUCCUUAUCAUUUUUAAUCUUGUGCUUUUUAUUCCAACUUCUUUUAUUUUUACUAAUACAGGGACUAAAGUCGUAAUUUCAAGGAACACCAGUUUACAGAAGUGCAUUUCCGAUUCACAUUAGUACCCUCUCAACUGUUGUCUGAACAAUGAUGAAUAAAAUAUCGAUAUUUGUGAACAGAAAUAAAAAGAAAAAACCGACGAUAUCUUUCACAUUCUUACUCAGAUAGAGGUGUGAAUCGAUUAUGCCACAUUUUAUAUAUAAUGGUUAACUUUAAAUUACGUUCACAGUCCCUUUAUAAUUUGUAAAACGUUCACAGUCCCUUAAUACUUUGUAAAACGUUCACAGUCCCUUUAUACUUUGUAAAAUGUUCACAGUCCCUUUAUACUUUGUAAAACGUUCACAGUCCCUUUAUA
RNA transcript from Eurytemora carolleeae, 1963 nucleotides. RefSeq lists it as uncharacterized. The record is from RefSeq and is a predicted model, not a curated record. NCBI's taxonomy places the organism in Eukaryota, Metazoa, Arthropoda, Copepoda, Calanoida, Temoridae. The transcript is spliced from 5 exons.